AUUUAAUUUUUAUUUAUCUAAUCAUUCACUCAUGCAAUAAGUAAUUACUUUAAUAUUAAAAAUAUUUUUUUCUAACAACAUUCUCAACAAUGCAUCAUACAUAUAAUUCAUAAACAACAUUUGUCUUAAACCAAUUUAAGAGAGGGUAGGGUUGGAUUCUAGAAACCUGAGAAUUUGAUGAUAGAGCUCCUUACGUAUUCAUCAGCCUCAGUGAUUUAUUAUAUAAAUAUCAUAAGAGAAUAUAAAUAUCAAUUUAAGAGAAUAACUUACUCAAAUCACUAAGUAAUCCACGACUAUUAUACAUUCAUACUUUGAGUUUGGAUUAAAAAAAAAAUCUUCAAGUAUGAGAAAACUAUUAAAAUAGUUUUAUUGAAAAAUCAUAUAAAAUAAAAAUAAAUUUAGUAAUAAUAUAAUUAAAUAUGU
RNAcentral lists this small RNA (423 nucleotides) under Arabidopsis thaliana (thale cress). RNAcentral's name for it is "ATSL220020". The record is from RNAcentral. Lineage: Eukaryota; Viridiplantae; Streptophyta; Magnoliopsida; Brassicales; Brassicaceae.